GCGAGCGGCAACCACGCGCCCUGUAUUUCUUGUUGAGAUAACAACAAUCAUCAUCAUCGCUACAUCAUCAUUAUUGCUGCAUGAUCAUCAUUUUCAUCAUCGCUUCAUCAUCACCGCUGCAUGAUCAUUAUCAUCAUCGCUGCAUGAUCAUCAUCAUCAUCAUCGCUGCAUCGUCAUCAUCAUCACUGCAUCAUGAUCACCAUCGUUGCAUGAUCACCAUCGCAUUGAGGAACUGAGCGUCAGCGAAAGGCACCGUGGAGAUGGAGCCGAGGAAUCGCCCUGAACCUGACGACGUCGAGACGACUCGCGCUGCAGCAGACACGACGGACGAAUUCCUCCAGCGCUUCGGACUGCGCCUGCAAGCGCGCAGACCCAGCCACGUGGCGCUGAUGGCGACCGCGGGGUCCAAGCGCGACUCGCGACGAUACGCAGGCGAC
Molecule: long non-coding RNA, 437 nt
Organism: Lethenteron reissneri (Far Eastern brook lamprey)
Lineage: Eukaryota; Metazoa; Chordata; Hyperoartia; Petromyzontiformes; Petromyzontidae
Source: RefSeq, a predicted model, not a curated record